RNAcentral lists this ribosomal RNA (2904 nucleotides) under Escherichia coli. RNAcentral's name for it is "23S ribosomal RNA". It matches the Rfam family "Bacterial large subunit ribosomal RNA". Lineage: Bacteria; Pseudomonadati; Pseudomonadota; Gammaproteobacteria; Enterobacterales; Enterobacteriaceae. The record is from RNAcentral.
GGUUAAGCGACUAAGCGUACACGGUGGAUGCCCUGGCAGUCAGAGGCGAUGAAGGACGUGCUAAUCUGCGAUAAGCGUCGGUAAGGUGAUAUGAACCGUUAUAACCGGCGAUUUCCGAAUGGGGAAACCCAGUGUGUUUCGACACACUAUCAUUAACUGAAUCCAUAGGUUAAUGAGGCGAACCGGGGGAACUGAAACAUCUAAGUACCCCGAGGAAAAGAAAUCAACCGAGAUUCCCCCAGUAGCGGCGAGCGAACGGGGAGCAGCCCAGAGCCUGAAUCAGUGUGUGUGUUAGUGGAAGCGUCUGGAAAGGCGCGCGAUACAGGGUGACAGCCCCGUACACAAAAAUGCACAUGCUGUGAGCUCGAUGAGUAGGGCGGGACACGUGGUAUCCUGUCUGAAUAUGGGGGGACCAUCCUCCAAGGCUAAAUACUCCUGACUGACCGAUAGUGAACCAGUACCGUGAGGGAAAGGCGAAAAGAACCCCGGCGAGGGGAGUGAAAAAGAACCUGAAACCGUGUACGUACAAGCAGUGGGAGCACGCUUAGGCGUGUGACUGCGUACCUUUUGUAUAAUGGGUCAGCGACUUAUAUUCUGUAGCAAGGUUAACCGAAUAGGGGAGCCGAAGGGAAACCGAGUCUUAACUGGGCGUUAAGUUGCAGGGUAUAGACCCGAAACCCGGUGAUCUAGCCAUGGGCAGGUUGAAGGUUGGGUAACACUAACUGGAGGACCGAACCGACUAAUGUUGAAAAAUUAGCGGAUGACUUGUGGCUGGGGGUGAAAGGCCAAUCAAACCGGGAGAUAGCUGGUUCUCCCCGAAAGCUAUUUAGGUAGCGCCUCGUGAAUUCAUCUCCGGGGGUAGAGCACUGUUUCGGCAAGGGGGUCAUCCCGACUUACCAACCCGAUGCAAACUGCGAAUACCGGAGAAUGUUAUCACGGGAGACACACGGCGGGUGCUAACGUCCGUCGUGAAGAGGGAAACAACCCAGACCGCCAGCUAAGGUCCCAAAGUCAUGGUUAAGUGGGAAACGAUGUGGGAAGGCCCAGACAGCCAGGAUGUUGGCUUAGAAGCAGCCAUCAUUUAAAGAAAGCGUAAUAGCUCACUGGUCGAGUCGGCCUGCGCGGAAGAUGUAACGGGGCUAAACCAUGCACCGAAGCUGCGGCAGCGACGCUUAUGCGUUGUUGGGUAGGGGAGCGUUCUGUAAGCCUGUGAAGGUGUGCUGUGAGGCAUGCUGGAGGUAUCAGAAGUGCGAAUGCUGACAUAAGUAACGAUAAAGCGGGUGAAAAGCCCGCUCGCCGGAAGACCAAGGGUUCCUGUCCAACGUUAAUCGGGGCAGGGUGAGUCGACCCCUAAGGCGAGGCCGAAAGGCGUAGUCGAUGGGAAACAGGUUAAUAUUCCUGUACUUGGUGUUACUGCGAAGGGGGGACGGAGAAGGCUAUGUUGGCCGGGCGACGGUUGUCCCGGUUUAAGCGUGUAGGCUGGUUUUCCAGGCAAAUCCGGAAAAUCAAGGCUGAGGCGUGAUGACGAGGCACUACGGUGCUGAAGCAACAAAUGCCCUGCUUCCAGGAAAAGCCUCUAAGCAUCAGGUAACAUCAAAUCGUACCCCAAACCGACACAGGUGGUCAGGUAGAGAAUACCAAGGCGCUUGAGAGAACUCGGGUGAAGGAACUAGGCAAAAUGGUGCCGUAACUUCGGGAGAAGGCACGCUGAUAUGUAGGUGAAGUCCCUUGCGGAUGGAGCUGAAAUCAGUCGAAGAUACCAGCUGGCUGCAACUGUUUAUUAAAAACACAGCACUGUGCAAACACGAAAGUGGACGUAUACGGUGUGACGCCUGCCCGGUGCCGGAAGGUUAAUUGAUGGGGUCAGCGCAAGCGAAGCUCUUGAUCGAAGCCCCGGUAAACGGCGGCCGUAACUAUAACGGUCCUAAGGUAGCGAAAUUCCUUGUCGGGUAAGUUCCGACCUGCACGAAUGGCGUAAUGAUGGCCAGGCUGUCUCCACCCGAGACUCAGUGAAAUUGAACUCGCUGUGAAGAUGCAGUGUACCCGCGGCAAGACGGAAAGACCCCGUGAACCUUUACUAUAGCUUGACACUGAACAUUGAGCCUUGAUGUGUAGGAUAGGUGGGAGGCUUUGAAGUGUGGACGCCAGUCUGCAUGGAGCCGACCUUGAAAUACCACCCUUUAAUGUUUGAUGUUCUAACGUUGACCCGUAAUCCGGGUUGCGGACAGUGUCUGGUGGGUAGUUUGACUGGGGCGGUCUCCUCCUAAAGAGUAACGGAGGAGCACGAAGGUUGGCUAAUCCUGGUCGGACAUCAGGAGGUUAGUGCAAUGGCAUAAGCCAGCUUGACUGCGAGCGUGACGGCGCGAGCAGGUGCGAAAGCAGGUCAUAGUGAUCCGGUGGUUCUGAAUGGAAGGGCCAUCGCUCAACGGAUAAAAGGUACUCCGGGGAUAACAGGCUGAUACCGCCCAAGAGUUCAUAUCGACGGCGGUGUUUGGCACCUCGAUGUCGGCUCAUCACAUCCUGGGGCUGAAGUAGGUCCCAAGGGUAUGGCUGUUCGCCAUUUAAAGUGGUACGCGAGCUGGGUUUAGAACGUCGUGAGACAGUUCGGUCCCUAUCUGCCGUGGGCGCUGGAGAACUGAGGGGGGCUGCUCCUAGUACGAGAGGACCGGAGUGGACGCAUCACUGGUGUUCGGGUUGUCAUGCCAAUGGCACUGCCCGGUAGCUAAAUGCGGAAGAGAUAAGUGCUGAAAGCAUCUAAGCACGAAACUUGCCCCGAGAUGAGUUCUCCCUGACUCCUUGAGAGUCCUGAAGGAACGUUGAAGACGACGACGUUGAUAGGCCGGGUGUGUAAGCGCAGCGAUGCGUUGAGCUAACCGGUACUAAUGAACCGUGAGGCUUAACCUU